This 149-nucleotide ribosomal RNA is filed under the name Odoria alborubescens. RNAcentral's name for it is "5.8S ribosomal RNA". It matches the Rfam family "5.8S ribosomal RNA". From Rfam's summary of the family: 5.8S ribosomal RNA (5.8S rRNA) is a component of the large subunit of the eukaryotic ribosome. It is transcribed by RNA polymerase I as part of the 45S precursor that also contains 18S and 28S rRNA. Lineage: Eukaryota; Fungi; Basidiomycota; Agaricomycetes; Polyporales; Meruliaceae. The record is from RNAcentral.
UUUUAGCAACGGAUCUCUUGGCUCUCGCAUCGAUGAAGAACGCAGCGAAAUGCGAUAAGUAAUGUGAAUUGCAGAAUUCAGUGAAUCAUCGAAUCUUUGAACGCACCUUGCGCUCCUUGGUAUUCCGAGGAGCAUGCCUGUUUGAGUGU